AUAUAUACAGGGCGUGAUGAAAAACCCGCAACCAACCUCAAACUGCUGACAUUUCUAAGCCACUCGUUCGACAGCUGUUAAAAUUAUUCCAGUGACAGCUCAUUAUAUUGUUUGCAAGCGUACAAAAGCAUUUUGGUGAGAAUUUUCCAGAAACAAAUUAUUCAUGAUGGAAUUCAAACGCGAGAUAGUGUGAUUUCUUUAUAUUUGGCUGGAAAAACAAAUGGGAGCUAUCGUUGGAGCACUCUAGUAUUUCAAUGUGAAUAAAUCUUUUGUGUCUCGUACCAUCGCUCGUUACCGCGAUACUGGUAGCGUAAGCCCGACGUCAAGGAAGUGAACGGAAGAAAACAGCAACAUCAGCAGAAAUGGUUCGAAAUGGUAAAUACGAAACCCGUGUAGCAGUGCCCGAAAAAUGGCUUGUGAGCUGAACAUAUCGCAAUAUUCCAUUCGGCAAAUAUUUUGUAAAAUGAGCUCGGGGUAAAGCCAUUGAAAUUCCAAAUAGUGCAAGAACUUCCACCACAACAGAAAGAAAAUAGACUCAAAAGAUCUAAAACCUUGCUUCACUGGGCCGAAAUUGGCGAACUUCCGAAUUUGGUUUUCUCCGAUGAGAAAACAUUCGUUGUCCAGCAGUUUGUAGACAAACAAAAUUAUCGUGUUUACUUGCCAAAGACGUCAGCUGAAAAUGUGCACCUUUAGUUGACCACCAGAACUCAAGCGCCGGCCAUGGUGAUGGUGUGGGCCGCCAUAACAGCCGAUGGUCGCUCUCCGCUCGUAUAAAUCGACCGUGGCAUCAGAGUAAAUGCCGAAUAUUAUCGCGAAAAUAUUCU
Long non-coding RNA from Musca vetustissima, 824 nucleotides. RefSeq lists it as uncharacterized. Lineage: Eukaryota; Metazoa; Arthropoda; Insecta; Diptera; Muscidae. The record is from RefSeq and is a predicted model, not a curated record. The transcript has 2 exons.